AACGCACAUUGCGCCCCUCGGUAUUCCGUGGGGCAUGCCUGUUCGAGCGUCAUUUAAACCUUCAAGCUCAGCUUGGUAUUGGGUGCUUGUCCCGCCUCUGCGCGGCGACUCACCUCAAAGUCAUUGGCAGCCCGCAUCCGCCGGCCGUGAGCGCAGCACAGUCGCACUCUAGGUAUUUGGCAGGUCGGCUCUCCAGAAGCACUUCUUUUAUUAUUGACCUCGGAUCAGGUAGGGAUACCCGCUGAACUUAA
Molecule: unclassified non-coding RNA, 251 nt
Filed under: uncultured fungus
Lineage: Eukaryota; Fungi
Description: partial contains 5.8S ribosomal RNA, internal transcribed spacer 2, and large subunit ribosomal RNA
Source: RNAcentral